GAUGAACGCUGGCGGCGUGCCUAACACAUGCAAGUCGAGCGAACAGAUGAGGAGCUUGUUCCUCUGACGUUAGCGGCGGACGGGUGAGUAACACGUGGAUAACCUACCUAUAAGACGGGGAUAACUUCGGGAAACCGGAGCUAAUACCGGAUAAUAUAUUGAACCGCAUGGUUCAAUAGUGAAAGACGGUUUUGCUGUCACUUAUAGAUGGAUCCGCGCGGCAUUGGCUGGUUGGUGGGGUAACGGCUUACCAAGGCAACGAUCCCUAGCCGACCUGAGAGGGUGACCGGCCACACUGGAACUGGGACACGGUCCAGACUCCUACGGGAGGCAGCAGUAGGGAAUAUUGCGCAAUGGGCGAAAGCCUGACGGAGCAACGCCGCGUGGGUGAAGAAGGUCUUCGGGUCGUAAAGUACUUUUAUUGGGGAGGAACAAAUGUGUAAUUAGCUCUUCACGUAUUGACGGUACCUAAACAAGAAGCCCCGGCUAACUACGUG
RNAcentral lists this ribosomal RNA (497 nucleotides) under uncultured bacterium. Its description in RNAcentral is "partial 16S ribosomal RNA". It matches the Rfam family "Bacterial small subunit ribosomal RNA", at positions 28 to 507 of the family's 1533-position model. The record is from RNAcentral.